GACGAACGCUGGCGGCGUGCUUAACACAUGCAAGUCGAACGGAAAGGCCCUGCUUUUGUGGGGUGCUCGAGUGGCGAACGGGUGAGUAACACGUGAGUAACCUGCCCUUGACUUUGGGAUAACUUCAGGAAACUGGGGCUAAUACCGGAUAGGAGCUCCUGCUGCAUGGUGGGGGUUGGAAAGUUUAGGCGGUUGGGGAUGGACUCGCGGCUUAUCAGCUGGUUGGUGGGGUAGUGGCUUACCAAGGCUUUGACGGGUAGCCGGCCUGAGAGGGUGACCGGCCACAUUGGGACUGAGAUACGGCCCAGACUCCUGCGGGAGGCAGCAGUGGGGAAGAUUGCACGAUGGGCGGAAGCCUGAUGCAGCAACGCCGCGUGCGGGAUGACAGCCUUCGUGUGGUAGACCGCUUUCGCCUGUGACGAAGCGUGAGUGACGGUAAUGGGUAAAGAAGCACCGGCUAACUACGUG
This 468-nucleotide ribosomal RNA is filed under the name uncultured bacterium. RNAcentral describes it as "partial 16S ribosomal RNA". It matches the Rfam family "Bacterial small subunit ribosomal RNA", at positions 28 to 507 of the family's 1533-position model. The record is from RNAcentral.